UACGUAGGGGGCAAGCGUUAUCCGGAUUUACUGGGUGUAAAGGGAGCGUAGACGGACUGGCAAGUCUGAUGUGAAAGGCGGGGGCUCAACCCCUGGACUGCAUUGGAAACUGUUAGUCUUGAGUGCCGGAGAGGUAAGCGGAAUUCCUAGUGUAGCGGUGAAAUGCGUAGAUAUUAGGAGGAACACCAGUGGCGAAAGCGGCUUACUGGACGGUAACUGACGUUGAGGCUCGAAAGCGUGGGGAGCAAACAGG
RNAcentral lists this ribosomal RNA (253 nucleotides) under Blautia obeum. RNAcentral's name for it is "partial 16S ribosomal RNA". It matches the Rfam family "Bacterial small subunit ribosomal RNA", at positions 524 to 776 of the family's 1533-position model. The record is from RNAcentral. Lineage: Bacteria; Bacillati; Bacillota; Clostridia; Lachnospirales; Lachnospiraceae.